Molecule: long non-coding RNA, 4350 nt
Organism: Leucoraja erinaceus (little skate)
Lineage: Eukaryota; Metazoa; Chordata; Chondrichthyes; Rajiformes; Rajidae
Exons: 3
Source: RefSeq, a predicted model, not a curated record
AGCACCAAUGAUGACGAGGAGGAAAAGACCCAUCCAGGACCAAACAGGAAAUCAUGAACAUCACAACUGACUCUGCUUGAUGGUGGGAAACACAAGCAAGGAUGUUGAAGACAGCAAGGUGUGCUGUCCAAGAGAAGAUUCGGCAGCUGAAGACAGGACCACGGUGGGUACCGGAGAGAAGAUGAAGAAAAGGAGCAAGGAGCAAAGAUAGUUACGACAAAUGACCCACUUUCGUCACCCAAGCGAGACCAUCAGGACAAAGGCAAAUGAGAUGUCAAAUAGCCUGACCAGCUAUGGAAUGACUCUGCUAGCAGGGCAGAAUCUCCAGGAAUUAUGCAUCUUUUUGACUGGAUGGAGCCAUCACCAAUUCAACACUGAAGAAAAGAAAGCACCAGUGAUGAUGAGGAGGAAAAGACCCAGCCAGGCCCAAGCAGGAGUUCAUGAGCAUAAAACUGACGCUGCUUGUUGUUGGGAAACACAAGUGAGGAUGUUAAAUUGAGCAAGGUGUGCCGUCCAAGAGAAGAUUCGGCAUCUUAAGACGGGCCCGCGAUGGGUUCCGGAGAUUGGACGAAGACGGGCCCUCGGUGGAUGCCAGAGGUCGGACAGAAGUUGAAGAGGAGCAAGUGCCAAUAGUAGUUACGACAAAUGCAGAACACUACAUCUGAAAGCCAAGGUAUCACUGGUAAUGAAGCCAAUCCUUGUCACAGGACAGAACCCAUACCCAAUUCAACACAGGACAAAAUGAGGAAGGAACAUACAGGGGAGGAACAGCAGCAUCAGAACCCUACCAUGGAUUGUCACUGGGAAAGCCAAGGCAUCACAACUGACCAGAAGUAGCUGGAGCUAAUGGCGAUUGAAAAUCAAGCUGGACUCCUUUGCAGUGUCAUUGGAUUCACCAUAAGGGCAAAGCAAGAAGAAAGAUGUCAAACAGCCUGACCAGCUCGGAGAGGAUUCUGCUGGCAAGAUAGAAUCUCUGGGAAUGACGCAUCUUUUUACCAAUGAACGGAGCCCUCACCAAUUCAACCAGUCAAAAGAAAGCAAAUGCUAAGCAAUAACAAAUAAAGAAAAUUUUAUAUUGGCAUAUAUUGGAGUUGAUAUACAUUAAAGCAAUCGAAUUGAUAUCUUGUCUCAUGUUAUUAUUAGUUAUGGGAAAGAAAGUAGACCAACAAUCUUUGUGGAGCAGCCAUUGUGAUGCAGUCUGUUGUGGUUUAUAAGGUGCGUGUUGCUGGUGCAAUGUGGUUCAAGAACCUGAUGGUUGACGGGGAGAUACUGCUCUUGAACUUUGAAAGACCAGUAUCUGACAUAUUAUUUGCUGACAUAGCCUUCGCGUGAAGUUCAGACCAGCAUUUUAUCUUCAGGUUGGGUAGAAAGUUUGUGGUAUUUAGCCACAAUGCAAGUGUGAUGUGAACAUAACAUGUUGUAUUGAUUAAUCCAUAUAAUGAUAGGGGAUGGAUGCAAUAUCUCUCCAAUAGCUAUAUCUCUCCAAUUGAUUGUUUGGGUUCUGCAAUGUGGUUUGAGCUUGACAAAAAGUUGUUUUAAACCUGGAGGGGAUAGUUCUCUGGUUCCUGUAUUAUCUUUCUGAUGAUAGCAGCCGAAGGGCCUGUUUUUGCGCUGUAUCUCUAAACUAAACUAAUUCACUGAUUCUCUUGUGCCCUUGCCUCUGUCUCUGUCUCCGAUUUCACCAACGGAUACGGAGGACCUCCACUCCCAGUAACCUUCCUCCUCAACCCUCCUUCUAUGCUGUCUUGGGCAAGCACAAGUCACCAGUCGUCUAUAUUGAUGGACCCAUGCUCUCAGAUCUUGGCUAUCAUGGACUUUCUGUGGACCAAUGAGCUUAACCUGGGAAAUCUGCACACUGACAGUUACCGUCUUGCCCGAGGAGAUCCAGAGCAUCUGCAAUGUUCCAUCGCUCAUUCCAACAAAGCCUCUGCUGGGUUCGAUCCAGAGUAUGAGGCACUGCCCUAACCAUUAGAGAUGGAUGCCAUGUUGAAAAUAACCAAGUAUUCAGAAAGGAAUGGAUGGAUCCUGCUUGUUACUGCUCCCUCCAGCAAGAUGGCGGUGAUACACUUCAUCCUCCAGAUCACCACAACAGCAGUCUGCAGUACCAUCGGGCAGCUCAUUAUGAUGAUGGUAGCUGGAAUCACCAGGACAAUGAUCCAGACUUCCAAUUUGUACAUUGACAUAAUUGAAACCGCCUUAUUGGGUUAAAGCACAUAAUGGAUAUAGAUGAAGGAAAUAAUAUGAGCCACUGAAUUUCAUCAUCGCCAAAAAAGCAUACCAUCGUUUCUACUUCCUCAGAAGACAAAGAUAUUUGACAUUAAUUUAAAGACUUUUACCAACUUCUACAGUUGAACUGUAGAAAACGUACCUCUGGGUUGUAUCACAGCUUGGUUUGGGAACAGCUUUGCCUAAGACCACAAGAAAUUGCAGAGUUGUGGAUCACUCCAGCACACACCGGACUUCCCACUGUGAGAAAAGGGUUAAAAGGGAUGGUUGCUUUGUACUAGAACUUUGAAAAAUAUAACUUAAAAAGAAAUGAGCUGUCCGCAGAAGCCAGACUGCUGGUAGAAUAAAGUAACAAUGUACAUGAAGAGGGUAAUUCUAGAUAAAGAAAGUAACAGAUAAAAACUCCAGCAGAAGCCUUUUGACGUCAGGAGAUGUUCCGAGACGUUCCUGGACAUUCUCGUGGGAAUGUGGGCUUUAUGUUAUGAUUGGACGAAGCUUGAUGGGUAGACAUGAGGUAGUGACCAUAGUGAAGAAAGGUAUAAAAGAUAGAUACAAUCUCCAUUUUUGUGUGCCUCUAGGGGACAUCAGAGGAGAGGCACCUAUUCUGCAGAAUAUGAAAUUAAUAAAAACACUUCUUUGCCUGAAUUUGUCUCAAGAGCAUUUGUGAUUUUUGAAUCUCACACCACCAUUGACUACAUCUACACUUCACUCCCUUGGGAAAGCAGCCAACAUAAUCAAAGACCUUUUCCACCCUUGUAAUUUCCACUUUUCCCUGCUUCCACCACAAAGAGGAUAUAAAAACUUGAAAGGGCGUACCUUCAGACUCGGGUGCAGCUUCUUCCCGUUAUUUGAAUUCUGAACGGUCCUUCCUGAAGCUACGAUACAUUUCCUAAUUUCCAACCAACAUCAUUGUGGCCAUUGGACUUUUUCCUCAGAUUAUGCUACAAUGUUGAAAAACUAUGCUGCACUAUGCAUGUUUCUCCUCUCUAUCUAUUGUGCUUGUGCAUGGUUUGAUUGUAUGUACGGUAUCACCUGAUUUAAUUGCAUAGCGUGCAAACAAAAGCUUUUCACUGUAUCUCAGUGUACACAACAAUAAAGCAAUUUAAACUUGUUUUUGUGUGCCACUGUAGAUGACUUUGCAUUGCCAUAUUAUAUUCCUUCUGUUAUGUUCUGGCCCACACAUUCAGCUUGUUUCUAUCCCUUUAAAACCUAUUUACAUCCUUCUCACUGCUCAAACAUUUCCCAAGUUUUGUAUCAUCAGUAAAAUUGGAAAUGUGAUAUUUGGCUGCCUCAUCCAACUAGUUGAAGACUGAAUAAUCAGGGUUCCUGUGUUACCCACCUAUCUAUUCCCAAUCCCUGGUUUCUGCCUGUCAGCCAAUUCUCAGUAGCCAGCAGUAUACUGCACUAAUCACAUACCUUCUGAAGUUCUAAAUGUACCACUGCCAUUGUCCAUUUUCCAACCAUUUCCUCAAAUAUCUUCAAAAAAAUUAACACCAUGCAGUUUUCUGGAUUAAACUCCAUUGACUAUUGCUCGGACCAUUUGCCCAACUGAUUUAGAUCUUGCUGUAAUUUUUGAUAACAAUUUUAACUGUCUGAUACCACACACAUUAUUGUCAUCUGCAAACUCCCAGUCCCAAAAGACCACUCCAUUACAACUUGCCUUCUUAAUUAGUCAAUUUUGAUCACUUUAGCAAAACUACGGCUGCCUUGAAAUUCCUUGGGAAAGCUGACAUUUGUACUGUUUCAUUCCAUAACUUGGAAUACAAUUCAAUUUGCGAUUUACUUUCUAGUUCAUCAGACACCAUCUCCACCUCCCAAAAUAUUUAAGGAAAUUGGGCCAUUGUUUUGUGAUAAAUGGGGAAUGCUAUUAGCAUCAUCGAAACUGCACAUUAUUAGUCUGAGGUUGUGACUGUCAUGAGGAAUAGGAGUAGAAUGAGGCUGUUCGGCCCAUCAAUUCUACUCCGCCAUUAAAUCAUGGCUGAUCUAUCUCCCUCCUAACCCCAUUCUGCCUUCUCCCCAUAACCUCUGACACCUGUACUAAUCAAGUAUCUAUCUGUGCCUUAAAAAUAUCCACACACGGCCUCCACAGCUUUCUGGGACAAAGAAUUCCACAGAUUCACCACC